GUGAGGAAUAUUGGUCAAUGGGCGAGAGCCUGAACCAGCCAAGUAGCGUGAGGGAUGACUGCCCUAUGGGUUGUAAACCUCUUUUGCAGGGGGGUAAAGUGGUCCACGUGUGGAUCAUUGCAAGUACCCUGCGAAUAAGGAUCGGCUAACUCCGUGCCAGCAGCCGCGGUAAUACGGAGGAUCCGAGCGUUAUCCGGAUUUAUUGGGUUUAAAGGGAGCGUAGGCGGGGGUUUAAGUCAGCUGUGAAAUGCCGUGGCCCAACCAUGGAACUGCAGUUGAAACUGGACCUCUUGAGAGUACAUAAGGAAGGCGGAAUUCGUGGUGUAGCUGUGAAAUGCAUAGAGAUCGGGAGGAACACCAGUGGCGAAGGCGACUUACUGGACUGUAACUGACGCUGAGGCGCGAAAGUGUGGGGAGCAAACAGGAUUAGAAACCCGGGUAGUCC
This 445-nucleotide ribosomal RNA is filed under the name uncultured bacterium. RNAcentral's name for it is "partial 16S ribosomal RNA". It matches the Rfam family "Bacterial small subunit ribosomal RNA", at positions 354 to 796 of the family's 1533-position model. The record is from RNAcentral.